Molecule: long non-coding RNA, 646 nt
Filed under: Helianthus annuus (common sunflower)
Lineage: Eukaryota; Viridiplantae; Streptophyta; Magnoliopsida; Asterales; Asteraceae
Description: hypothetical non coding rna
Source: RNAcentral
UUUUUGAACAGCCGACACUCUCCUAUCUUGUUUCCCUCCCAUCCCCUUCUCUGCACUUUCUUUUGGAGAAAAAAAAAAAACCUAACUCACAAGCCUAUUCCUCUCAAAAACCUCACAACAAAGAAAACACAAUCAUUUUCACUCACCUCCCCUAUCUCUCGCAUAAACCGGUCGUCGGAGACCAAGUCCGACGCCGUCACCGGCCAACCACACACACACCUCCAUAAGCCGUAUCAUCUCUGCAACCAUCGCCGGAGAUUUGGAACUCACCGGAGCCAGAAAUGAGAACCCGCAGAAUCACCGCGUUCGGGUGUCGGUAUAUUCCUUAGUUAUGGUUUUGUCGUUAAUAAACAUCGAAACAUUCUGAGGAUCCCGCACAACUCAGGGAACUAACUCUCGCUCCCUCGUUGACUCGAAGUCCCUCACCGAAGUUACGAGCCGUAGCCGGAGUUUACGUACGAAGAUCACGACGGAAUCGCUUUGCCUCGUGUCGAUUAUGCGGAUUGUGACAGAUGAAUCCAGUAGGAUUGCCUAGAAACGCAUUUAAACUUUGUUGCUCGUUGUAUUGUAAUUUACUUUCAAUCCUGUUGUAUUCUGGUUCCAAUACUUGUAAUAAUUCGUUAUUAAUGAAAUAAAUUAUAAUUAU